Molecule: long non-coding RNA, 1098 nt
Filed under: Marmota monax (woodchuck)
Lineage: Eukaryota; Metazoa; Chordata; Mammalia; Rodentia; Sciuridae
Source: RNAcentral
ACAAUGGUGAUGAUGAUGUUGGUGAUAAUGAUAGUGAUGGUGAUGAGGUGGUGGUGAUGGUGAUAAUGAUGUUUAUGAUGGUGAUGGUGGUGAUGAUGGUGGUGGUGGUGACAAUGGUGAUGAGAUGGUGGCGAUGGUGGUGAUGAUGAUGAUGGUGAUGGUGAUGGAGGUGAUGGUGAUGGUGGUGAUGAUAGUGAUGAUGAUAGUGGUGUUGAAGGUGGUGACAAUGGUGAUGUUGGAUGUGAUGUGGUGAUGAUGAUGACGGUGGUGGUGACAGUUUGAUCAUGGGGUGGCAGUGAUGAUAACAGACUCGCACCUGCAUAGUACUUGUCUUAUAGUGAGCACUGUUUUAAGUACUUUAAGGCUAUUAAUUCACUGAGUGUUCACAACACUCCUGGGCAGGUACUGCUACUAACCCACUUUAUAAAUGAAGAAAUCGGCACAGGGUCGCAGUGGAAGACGAGCUGCGGUGGGAAAGGAGGAGAGUGGGGACAGUGGUGUCUGGGGUCCAGGGAGGUGACCGAUUCAUAGAUGACAGGAAAUCUGUGGCAGAUGCUCUGGAGUCAAGUCAAAUGGCUCAGAGGCAGGCCCUGGUGACGUUCUCUAUUGAAACAGAAUGAAAACAUCCCACAUGAGUCGAUUCGAGAAAGCAGGGAGGAAUAAGGUGAAGGUGGGGAGCCCAGGGACCUGACUUGAAGGAGACUUUCUGUAAAGGGGUAAAAUAGAGCAGCUCCUGAGGGUGGAAGGGGCGUGUCUCUGCACAGAUAAGAACGGAACCAGUGGGACACUGGGGCACAGGAGAGAGGUGGGAGCCAAGAGAGGUCCCCAAGACACAGGCCAGGGGAGGUCUGGAGCUUCAGUGGAGGACGGGCUUUGGGCUGGGCCGCGGCGCACUGAGGACAGAGGCAGCCGGCUGGGCCCUUUGCUGCCGGUGUGCGGAGGUUCUCCUCCCGCCAUCGGUGGAGAAUGAGGCGGGAGGACCUGCAGGGGUCCUGAGGUGGAGACCCACCGUGGACUGGCUGGAGAACUGCUCAGGAGGCCCGUGGCCCCACCGUCUGCGAAGCUGUGGGGUUGGGGAUUCAGGGAAAGGGACCAUGU